Molecule: long non-coding RNA, 701 nt
Organism: Medicago truncatula (barrel medic)
Lineage: Eukaryota; Viridiplantae; Streptophyta; Magnoliopsida; Fabales; Fabaceae
Exons: 3
Source: RefSeq, a predicted model, not a curated record
AACCCUAGAUCUGACUCAUUCAUUUCAUUCAUUUCUUCUAAAAAAUUCUCUCACUCGCCUCACACUCUUUCACCUUCCUCUUCAAACCCUAGUGCCGCCGCCGCCUCUAACCACCACCACCUCACCAUCAAAUCCUCCUACCAACAUGAAUCACCACUUUCCAACUUGAUUCCCUUUGUUUUACGCCUUUCUCUGUCAAUACACGCAGAAAAAUGGAGGCAAAUCCUGAAACUCUCUCUCAGUCACUAACACCACCGUAGAGCCGUAAAUCGCCGUCGUUUAACACGCAGUCACCACCACAUCUAACCCUUACGACUCACUUAAUCUCGUAUCUUAGCCUCUCAUUCACAAUCGAACUUCGAACCCAGAUCUUGAUCGUUCCUUGAUCUUGUUGACUCUCUCUGUGUUACUACACGCUCAAAUCAAAGAUCUAAAGAUUUGAAGGUACAUAUAGUUUUGUCCCAUGUAGAUGGUGCUUCAUUUGAAUUAUUUUGAUAUUGAACAAUACAUUAUAUAAUGCAUAAUGCUGCUACAUCUGAUACUAUAGACUUUUAUUUUCCAUCUGGAUGACUGUACUAAUUUAAAUCUUUACAAUGGUCUGCAAUGUUAUUUAUGCAUCUCCUAUCCUUCUUUAUAUGUAUUGUGUGUUGUAUUGAUAAUUUUAACUUGUUAGUUUUAAUCUAGUACAAAUUUAAAUGUCA